CAGCCGCCGCGGGAAUACGUAGGUGGCAAGCGUUGUCCGGAAUUAUUGGGCGUAAAGGGCUCGCAAGCGGUUUCUUAAGUCUGAUGUGAAAGCCCCCGGCUCAACCGGGGAGGGUCAUUGGAAACUGGGAAACUUGAGUGCAGAAGAGGAGAGUGGAAUUCCACGUGUAGCGGUGAAAUGCGUAGAGAUGUGGAGGAACACCAGUGGCGAAGGCGACUCUCUGGUCUGUAACUGACGCUGAGGAGCGAAAGCGUGGGGAGCGAACAGGAUUAGAUACCCCCGUAGUCCCUGUCUCUUAUAC
RNAcentral lists this ribosomal RNA (301 nucleotides) under uncultured bacterium. RNAcentral describes it as "partial 16S ribosomal RNA". It matches the Rfam family "Bacterial small subunit ribosomal RNA", at positions 509 to 807 of the family's 1533-position model. The record is from RNAcentral.